This is a long non-coding RNA of Meriones unguiculatus (Mongolian gerbil), 1410 nucleotides long. RefSeq lists it as uncharacterized. The record is from RefSeq and is a predicted model, not a curated record. The transcript has 3 exons. Lineage: Eukaryota; Metazoa; Chordata; Mammalia; Rodentia; Muridae.
UAACCCUUUAGGUGGAUGCUGGCUAACCGGGAGAGCAUGGGCCUUUCCGCUGUACUCACCUGGACUUCAGCGUGUAGCUGAGAAGGAUAAUUUCCAGAGCGUCUGUUCUGGGUUUCACCCAGGAGUUUCACUAAUCUGUUUGCUUGGUUGGAGACGGGAGCACUCCUCGCCUGUCACUCAGUAAAGUGGGAACCACAGUGUUUGCUGCUUUAAGGUAAUAAGAGCGUGGCCAUUUGUUUUGCGGCACAGAAAAGUACUGUGCAGAGGACCAGAGGCCGCACAGAACUGAAGAAACAUUGAUACAAGCAAGCAGUGAAUACACUGAGAAGAGCAGGUGCCACGAGGCCAGACGUAGAUGGCCGCGUCCUGCUCUCCCAUUCUCCAUCACGUGGCUUUUUGGCAGAAAAUAGACAAGUGCAUCAAUGGGUCAGAACAGACAUCCACAUCAAAGGAACAAAAGCAGUACUGCCUUUCCCACAAAGGGUGCUGGAGCAAGUGGAGAGCCAUGUGCUGAAAGAAAAAUUAACAUAGACACCCUGGACUUACACCCCUUAUAAAUAUUAACUCUACCUUGAUCACAAACUCCAUUGAAAACUGGAAAAUUAUAAAACUCCUAGAAGAUGAGGCAUUUGAAAAGUGAGUACCCUUAGGGUGACAGUGACUUUCAGAUCCUGAUAGUUAUUCAAAGGAGUUGAAAACAUCCACUCAGAUAUCCGCACGUGGAUAUUUAUAGCAGCCUUAUUCACAAUGCUACAACACACAAGCAGCCAAAAGGCCCUUGGAUGACUGGAUGAAAACACAAACCUCACACAAUGGCCGCUAUUCAGCACUGGAAAUGCAUGAGCUCUCAAGUCAUGACGAGACACUGAGGAACCUUAAAUGCAUAUCACCCAGUGUGCAAAGGCAUCUGAAAAGGCUACAUGGCUUUGGUGAGUGAGAAUUCAGGAUAAGAGAGGGGUGGCAAGUUAAAACUUGGGGCAGUAGAAAAUUUCCACAUGAGAAUGUCAUGACACCGUCAUUAUACAUUCGUUCAGACCCCUGGACUGUGUGAGGUCAAGAGUGGACACUGAUGUGACAGUAUGGGUUGUGACAGCUGUAUCCCUCUGGUGGAAGAUACUGGUAAUGUCCGGAACUAUGUGUAUUGCGGGUAGGAAGUGCAUGGAAGCUGUAUUUGCUGCAAAAAUCUCUUUGUGAACUUAAAACUGCGUGAAGGUAAUGGUUGUUCCUCCUUUGUUGGGGUUGAUCUGAAGUUGCUAUGUAUCCAAAUGUUAAUUGCUUGCCUCCCUCAAGAUCCCUGGUGUCCUACAAGCAAAUUCUCAUAUCCAAAAUAACAUUGUGUAAUUAUCCCCAUUUGGCUAAUAAAGUUGCCUACAGCCUGGAUUGGGCAGAAAAGAGUAGGCGGAGCAUUAA